Molecule: ribosomal RNA, 465 nt
Filed under: uncultured Klebsiella sp.
Lineage: Bacteria; Pseudomonadati; Pseudomonadota; Gammaproteobacteria; Enterobacterales; Enterobacteriaceae
Description: bacterial SSU rRNA
Rfam family: Bacterial small subunit ribosomal RNA
Source: RNAcentral
CCUACGGGGGGCUGCAGUGGGGAAUAUUGCACAAUGGGCGCAAGCCUGAUGCAGCCAUGCCGCGUGUGUGAAGAAGGCCUUCGGGUUGUAAAGCACUUUCAGCGGGGAGGAAGGCGUUAAGGUUAAUAACCUUGUCGAUUGACGUUACCCGCAGAAGAAGCACCGGCUAACUCCGUGCCAGCAGCCGCGGUAAUACGGAGGGUGCAAGCGUUAAUCGGAAUUACUGGGCGUAAAGCGCACGCAGGCGGUCUGUCAAGUCGGAUGUGAAAUCCCCGGGCUCAACCUGGGAACUGCAUUCGAAACUGGCAGGCUAGAGUCUUGUAGAGGGGGGUAGAAUUCCAGGUGUAGCGGUGAAAUGCGUAGAGAUCUGGAGGAAUACCGGUGGCGAAGGCGGCCCCCUGGACAAAGACUGACGCUCAGGUGCGAAAGCGUGGAGAGCAAACAGGAUUAGAUACCCGAGUAGUC